CUGGGGCCAUUCUAUGCAAGAAGUGAAAUGCAAUCUCUGCUAUGGAGAGUUUACAAUCUGGAAGGAUGACACAGGGCACAUGGAAAACAAAAAGGAGGAUGCUGCAUUGAAGAUGACAAAAGGAACAUGCAGGAUCUUCAGGAGAAUCCAUCCUUAACAUACAGGAUUCUGAAGACUAUCCACCUUCAAGAUCACCAUCAUUUUCUAUAGUUUCAGAGUCAUCUGCCAAUGACAGUGCUUUAGUCACAUGAUAUAUGUCACAUAGCCACAGCAUAUCACCUGUAGCAAAAAGAAAAAAAAAUUUCCAUCAUCCAGAAACAACCAUAGAUAAGUUUGUGAUAAGAACCAGCAGAUUACAAA
Long non-coding RNA from Mauremys mutica (yellowpond turtle), 360 nucleotides. RefSeq lists it as uncharacterized. The transcript has 3 exons. Lineage: Eukaryota; Metazoa; Chordata; Testudines; Geoemydidae. The record is from RefSeq and is a predicted model, not a curated record.